This 635-nucleotide ribosomal RNA is filed under the name Brachybacterium arcticum. RNAcentral's name for it is "bacterial SSU rRNA". It matches the Rfam family "Bacterial small subunit ribosomal RNA", at positions 61 to 707 of the family's 1533-position model. Lineage: Bacteria; Bacillati; Actinomycetota; Actinomycetes; Micrococcales; Dermabacteraceae. The record is from RNAcentral.
GUCGAACGAUGAUGGUGGUGCUUGCACCACCUGAUUAGUGGCGAACGGGUGAGUAACACGUGAGUAACCUGCCCCUCACUUCGGGAUAACCUCGGGAAAUCGUGGCUAAUACCGGAUAUGAACUUCUACCGCAUGGUGGUCGUUGGAAAGAUUUAUCGGUGAGGGAUGGACUCGCGGCCUAUCAGUUUGUUGGUGAGGUAAUGGCUCACCAAGACGAUGACGGGUAGCCGGCCUGAGAGGGCGACCGGCCACACUGGGACUGAGACACGGCCCAGACUCCUACGGGAGGCAGCAGUGGGGAAUAUUGCACAAUGGGCGAAAGCCUGAUGCAGCGACGCCGCGUGGGGGAUGACGGCCUUCGGGUUGUAAACCUCUUUCAGUAGGGAAGAAGCGAAAGUGACGGUACCUGCAGAAGAAGCGCCGGCUAACUACGUGCCAGCAGCCGCGGUAAUACGUAGGGCGCAAGCGUUGUCCGGAAUUAUUGGGCGUAAAGAGCUCGUAGGUGGCUUGUCGCGUCUGCCGUGAAAACCCGAGGCUCAACCUCGGGCGUGCGGUGGGUACGGGCAGGCUAGAGUGUGGUAGGGGAGACUGGAACUCCUGGUGUAGCGGUGAAAUGCGCAGAUAUCAGGAAGAAC